Molecule: small RNA, 124 nt
Filed under: Marmota monax (woodchuck)
Lineage: Eukaryota; Metazoa; Chordata; Mammalia; Rodentia; Sciuridae
Source: RNAcentral
GCCAGGCAUGGUGGCGCACACCUGUAAUCCUAGAGGCUAGGGAGGCUGAGGCAGGAGGAUCUCGACUUCAAAGCCAGCCUCAGCAACAAUGAGGCACUAACAACUCAGGGAGACCCUGUUUCUA